CUCGUAGGUGGCUUGGUAAGUCGGGUGUGAAACCUCCAGGCUCAACCUGGAGUCGCCACUCGAUACUGUCAUGGCUAGAGUCCGGUAGGGGACCAUGGAAUUCCUGGUGUAGCGGUGAAAUGCGCAGAUAUCAGGAGGAACACCAGUAGCGAAGGCGGUGGUCUGGGCCGGUACUGACACUGAGGAGCGAAAGCGUGGGGAGCGAACAGGAUUAGAUACCCUGGUAGUCCACGCCGUAAACGUUGGGCACUAGGUGUGGGUCCCUAUCGACGGGAUCCGUGCCGCAGCUAACGCAUUAAGUGCCCCGCCUGGGGAGUACGGCCGCAAGGCUAAA
Molecule: ribosomal RNA, 334 nt
Filed under: uncultured bacterium
Lineage: Bacteria
Description: bacterial SSU rRNA
Rfam family: Bacterial small subunit ribosomal RNA
Source: RNAcentral